RNAcentral lists this long non-coding RNA (686 nucleotides) under Olea europaea subsp. europaea. The record is from RNAcentral. Lineage: Eukaryota; Viridiplantae; Streptophyta; Magnoliopsida; Lamiales; Oleaceae.
UUUACUUUGAUUGUAUCACCAACAUGAUCUUAUACUGCAAUUCAAUUUUCCAUUUUUCCUUUUUGGGGCUUGUCAACUUCUGUUAAGGCAGAUUUUGUAUAUGCAUUUUUCACUCGAACAUCUCGAAAUACAUAUUUCAAGAAGCAAUAUCAGAAUAAUAAAUCGCAUAUAAACAAUAUGGAACACAGAUCUGACAACUUCGAUAAAAGUUCGAGAAACUAGCAAAAUACCACAAACGCAAUAAACAAGAACUGUAAAAAUUUCCCCCAAAAAAAAGAAAAAAUACAGAUUACAGAUUACAGAAUCAAGAACUCAGUGACCUGUAUAUACAUGGACUCCAAUGGCAAUAAGGAAAAUAGUGAUUAACCCAAAGAAAAUGAUAGUAUGAACUAAAAUAGAAAGACCACUUGUAUGCAUAUUUCCAAAUUCAAUUACUGUGUUCCUCCCCGGAAUCUGACACAGCAGCCCCGGAGUCAGCAGCACGAACAGCACCACCGCUAUCACCACCGGCCCCCAAUCUGCCAUUUAAUUUUUCUAUCCCUAGAACUCUCUCUCUAGAUCUCUAAAUGAGCAGCUGUGACUAUAAUUCACGCGGACACAUUAUUAGUUGUACAAUGGAAAUGGGGUGGUGGGGACGGGCGAAGGAAGUAGUACGUACGUGGCGAAAGCACGUGAGAGCGUAGCAU